GAUGAAGGACGUAGUGAAAUGCGAUACGUAAUGUGAAUUGCAGAAUUCAGUGAAUCAUCGAGUCUUUGAACGCACAUUGCGCCCCCUGGUAUUCCGGGGGGCAUGCCUGUCCGAGCGUCAUUGCUGCCCUCAAGCACGGCUUGUGUGUUGGGCCUCCGUCCUCCUCCCGGGGGACGGGCCCGAAAGGCAGCGGCGGCACCGCGUCCGGUCCUCGAGCGUAUGGGGCUUCGUCACCCGCUCUUGUAGGCCCGGCCGGCGCUUGCCGACACAUCAAUCUUUUUUCCAGGUUGACCUCGGAUCAGGUAGGGAUACCCGCUGAACUUAAGCAUAUCAAUAAGCGGAGGA
RNAcentral lists this unclassified non-coding RNA (345 nucleotides) under soil metagenome. Its description in RNAcentral is "partial contains 5.8S ribosomal RNA, internal transcribed spacer 2, and large subunit ribosomal RNA". The stretch from base 1 to 120 matches the Rfam family "5.8S ribosomal RNA", at positions 35 to 154 of the family's 154-position model. The record is from RNAcentral.